UGGUUGUGAAGACUUGGUUGAUAGGUUAUACUCUCUUGCCCGGUUUACCGUGCCAACCACUACUAACUGACACAGCCCCCUGAUCUGAUGGGCUCUGCCGACUGCAUGCAGCCUACCCACUACCUUUGGUCACUGUUUAUGCCGCCGACCGGCUAUAAUCUCAUCCACAUUAAUGCAUGGCAGGUGUUUUAGUCAACUGUCAUGCUUUUUCAUCAUUGCAAGUCAAAG
This 228-nucleotide long non-coding RNA is filed under the name Panax ginseng (ginseng). Its description in RNAcentral is "long non-coding RNA (PGIN_LNC014307)". The record is from RNAcentral. Lineage: Eukaryota; Viridiplantae; Streptophyta; Magnoliopsida; Apiales; Araliaceae.